Molecule: long non-coding RNA, 1137 nt
Filed under: Musa acuminata (dwarf banana)
Lineage: Eukaryota; Viridiplantae; Streptophyta; Magnoliopsida; Zingiberales; Musaceae
Description: long non-coding RNA (MACU_LNC000755)
Source: RNAcentral
GUUUAGCUUAAUCUAAUCUAACCUCAGCCAAAGCCUAAAUGCAUCAUAGCUUUAGAAUAUGAUUCUGAUCUUUGAGAUCUAUUAUAUGUCAUUCAAGUAUUUGAGUUUAAGACUGCAUAAUCCAAGCACAUUUUCGACAAUGAGCAGUAGAAACUUUCAUUAAGUACUGGGGUCUAAGCCAAGUACUCAAUCCUAAGAUAAACCCUAACAAACUUAAUCACAUGCUGAAUGAGUGAUGCACACAAUUUACAUUUACUUAUGGUUGUCUGCCUAAUUGGUAGGUCUAAUUGUAGCAUCUACUUAAUUUUCUUCUUUAGCCAAAUUACUCUUGCAAGUUUGCAGAAUCUUCAUGGGGUGGAAAGAAUUCCAAUCUGAUCCAGACUAGUUAUACUAACACAAAGAGGACUCAGAACAUAUCAUACUUGAUUCUCUCAGGUUCUUUAGUGAAAUACAUAAAAGUAUCACACAAGUUCAAGAUUGAUAGAAAACCCAACCUACGUGGCACCUGGCUGUCCACAGAGGCAUAGACAACUAGAGCAAAGUCAUUGCAUCAGAAUUACAGUAUCAAAUAAAUCAAAGAGAGAAGUAAAUCUGAAUGGAGGAAAAAAAAGGAACUUCUAGGUCCUUCAGGCAUAUUGUUCAAUAUGACUCAAGAAGGGUUCCUUAAGAUACAUCUAUGUUCUAAUUUGGAGUAUAGACUAGACUAGGGGCUCAGUUAUGAGGAUAAAUGGCUCAUAGCCAUGGACCUGACAAUCACGAGAAAUGCACCAACAUCCAAAAGAAAUUCUACAGGAACGAGCCUCUGAGGCUACUAAGAAAAGUGAAUGGUCUUUAGUAACAACAUAAAAACCAUGAAAACCAGGUCUAGAGAUGGAGGAUACUGAUGAAUUGUAUUCAUAUUGAAACCACACCCUUGUGUAUCCACUUUUUCGUCUAACACUCAAGUAAUAAUAGCAGGAUGUGAUAGAAUUACAUUUUGGUUGUUUAUUGAUGUAAUGAAACACAUUUCAUUAGUAAAUGUAAAGUAAUGAAAGAGUGACAGGAAAAAAAAAUUAGGCAUACCACAAAAGAAUAUCUAGAUCACUACACUAUAGUUAUGCCUUUCCAACAAAACUGUUCACCCUAUGAUGCAGAAAU